This 1485-nucleotide long non-coding RNA is filed under the name Panax ginseng (ginseng). Its description in RNAcentral is "long non-coding RNA (PGIN_LNC001282)". Lineage: Eukaryota; Viridiplantae; Streptophyta; Magnoliopsida; Apiales; Araliaceae. The record is from RNAcentral.
CAAGAUUGAAUGGCCAAUUCUCCUCCGGACCCUCGAUUCGAUUGUUUUCUAAGAAUAUUGAGCUGGGUAUGUAAGCCAUGUAUCUGGGAGGAACUUUAAAGAAAGGCUUUCGGUUCUUUGCACCCCGUUUUGGUCUUGCAGCUAUUUAAAUAAUAAUAAUAAAGAUAUAUAUAAGAAUCUCUUUUUUAGAAGAAAGAUUCUAUAUAUGUCCAAUCUCUAGUGGUGGUGGGACCAACCAAGAUGUAUGUCGUCCGACCCGACCUCAGACUCUUUCUUCCCGACCUAUUUUACUCUCUGGCCGCAACUAUUUAGGUGGUAUCCCGAGAUUGAAGAGAUCGAAUUCCUCCCGGGAACACACGAAACAAAGAUAUGAACUAGGUAAAUAGAAAUUGAAAAGAGAUGUUUCCAAUUCAUCAAAAUGAUAAGCUUUUUAUACAUCCAUAUGAUCUACUAAAGUGAAAGUAGAUCGGUAUUGCCCAUAUAAUAAAAGCAGAUCUUGGUCCAUGGAGUCCCAAGAAGGUAAGAACUCCAACCUGUCUGAUGCUUCUUCGGCCAAAUACGAUAUACAACUUGAACUAGGUAAAUAGAAAUUGAAAAGAGAUGUUUCCAAUUCAUCAAAAUGAUAAGCUUUUUCUACAUCCAUAUGAUCUACUAAAGUGAAAGUAGAUCGGUAUUGCCCAUAUAAUAAAAGCAGAUCUUGGUCCAUGGAGUCCCAAGAAGGUAAGAACUCCAACCUGUCUGAUGCUUCUUCGGCCAAAUACGAUAUACAACUUGGGCGAAAAAUCGCUUCUUUUUUCCGGUUCCGAAACAACUUGGGCGAAAUAGGGUUCUACCGGGAAACCAUGGAUUUUUGAGUUUUCGCCAUUGGUUACUAGUUGAGCCACUGGAAUGGAAUGUGAUAAGAAUCUCUGGAGAUCUUUCCUCUCCACUUACUCGUAACAGGCUUUCCCUCUGUAGAAGACUUCUUCCGAAUGACAUAAUUGUCCUAUUUUUUCCUUGAUCUUCAAAUAAAACUAACUCCUCCUACUCCUCCUUCUCCUUUAGGAUAGGAUCAUCGUUGGUCCUUCUUUCACUAAUGAUCUAACCAUUUUCUAGUAGUUCGCGUGAGGGACUAUCCUUUCUAUCGCUUGCCCUUGUUUUUCACUCUCAAGACAAGGCUCUCUCUUCUAUAAAGCGAAGCAAAACGCAUGGCGCUGAAGUGAAGAAAGCUCAAUAAAGACACACGAACACGAUGCAAGGCAUGGCAUAAAUGUAACCGCUAAUCAUUUCAUAAAACAUAUAUGUUUGACCUUUCUCGAUGCUUUUUUGGGGGUGACUCACCAACCGACCCAGCAGUGAUCAAUGACAGAAUGGUACGAACAAAUCAAAGUCAUUAGAUUUGGUAGUUCUCCAUGGACUUCUCUAUUUACCCCUUUGCAUAUGUUCGUGCACCUCCAGAUGGGCGGGGGUCAGCCUCCCACUCCCUUAUACAGCAUUUAUUAGCUU